RNAcentral lists this ribosomal RNA (305 nucleotides) under uncultured bacterium. Its description in RNAcentral is "partial 16S ribosomal RNA". It matches the Rfam family "Bacterial small subunit ribosomal RNA", at positions 505 to 809 of the family's 1533-position model. The record is from RNAcentral.
ACAGCAGUCGCCACGGGAAUACGUAGGUGGCAAGCGUUGUCCGGAAUUAUUGGGCGUAAAGGGCCCGCAGGCGGUUUCUUAAGUCUGAUGUGAAAGCCCCCGGCUCAACCGGGGAGGGUCAUUGGAAACUGGGAAACUUGAGUGCAGAAGAGGAGAGUGGAAUUCCACGUGUAGCGGUGAAAUGCGUAGAGAUGUGGAGGAACACCAGUGGCGAAGGCGACUCUCUGGUCUGUAACUGACGCUGAGGAGCGAAAGCGUGGGGAGCGAACAGGAUUAGAUACCCGUGUAGUCCCUGUCUCUUAUAU